CCUACGGGAGGCAGCAGUGGGGAAUAUUGGACAAUGGGCGAAAGCCUGAUCCAGCAAUGCCGCGUGAGUGAUGAAGGCCUUCGGGUCGUAAAGCUCUUUUACCAGGGAUGAUAAUGACAGUACCUGGAGAAUAAGCUCCGGCUAACUCCGUGCCAGCAGCCGCGGUAAUACGGAGGGAGCUAGCGUUGUUCGGAAUUACUGGGCGUAAAGAGUACGUAGGCGGUUAUUCAAGUCAGAGGUGAAAGCCCGGGGCUCAACCCCGGAACUGCCUUUGAAACUAGAUAACUAGAGUCUUGGAGAGGUUAGUGGAAUUCCGAGUGUAGAGGCGAAAUUCGUAGAUAUUCGGAAGAACACCAGUGGCGAAGGCGACUAACUGGACAAGUACUGACGCUGAGGUACGAAAGCGUGGGGAGCAAACAGGAUUAGAUACCCUGGUAGUCCACGCCGUAAACGAUGAUAACUAGUUGUUCGGUCACUUGGUGACUGAGUGACGCAGCUAACGCAUUAAGUUAUCCGCCUGGGGAGUACGGUCGCAAGAUUAAAACUCAAAGGAAUUGACGG
This 561-nucleotide ribosomal RNA is filed under the name uncultured bacterium. RNAcentral describes it as "bacterial SSU rRNA". It matches the Rfam family "Bacterial small subunit ribosomal RNA", at positions 338 to 916 of the family's 1533-position model. The record is from RNAcentral.